GUGUCAGCAGCCGCGGUAAGACGAACCGUGCGAACGUUGUUCGGAAUCACUGGGCUUAAAGGGCGCGUAGGCGGCCGAGCGGGUCGUGGGUGAAAUCCCCCAGCUUAACUGGGGAAGUGCUUACGAUACCACUGCGGCUGGAGGAAGGCAGGGGCACUUGGAACUGUCGGUGGAGCGGUGAAAUGCGUUGAUAUCGACAGGAACGCCGGUGGCGAAAGCGGAGUGCUGGUCCUUUUCUGACGCUGAGGCGCGAAAGCCAGGGGAGCAAACGGGAUUAGAUACCCCCGUAGUCC
Molecule: ribosomal RNA, 293 nt
Filed under: uncultured bacterium
Lineage: Bacteria
Description: partial 16S ribosomal RNA
Rfam family: Bacterial small subunit ribosomal RNA
Source: RNAcentral